RNAcentral lists this transfer RNA (85 nucleotides) under Felis catus (domestic cat). It matches the Rfam family "tRNA". From Rfam's summary of the family: Transfer RNA (tRNA) molecules are approximately 80 nucleotides in length. Their secondary structure includes four short double-helical elements and three loops (D, anti-codon, and T loops). The record is from Rfam by way of RNAcentral. Lineage: Eukaryota; Metazoa; Chordata; Mammalia; Carnivora; Felidae. RNAcentral also lists the same sequence under 3 other names.
GCCUGAGUGGCUCAGUUGGUUAAGCCUCCAACUUUGGCUCAGGUCAUGAUCUCACAGUUCGUGGGUUUGAGCCCCGCCUCAGGCU